UAAAAAUUAUUUAUUUUAGGUAGUACUAGCUUUCUUAAAACCUAAAGAAUUUGGCGGUAUUUUAAAUAAUUAGAGGAACCUGUUAAUUAAUUGAUAAUCCACAACAUAUCUCACCUAAAUUAAAUUUGUAUACCAUUGUUUUUAGAUUAUAUUUAAAAAUUAUAAUCAAAUAUAAUUAAUUUUCACAGAUCAAAUCAAGGUGCAGUAUAUUUAGGGUUUAAUGGGUUACAAUAUAAUUUAUAUAUUAUGAAAUAGUUUUUGAAAACCCCUAAGAAAGUGGAUUUAAAAGUAAUUUUGGAGUAAGCUGCCAAAAUGAAUAAGAAUUUAAAAUAUGC
Molecule: ribosomal RNA, 335 nt
Filed under: Cercophonius sulcatus
Lineage: Eukaryota; Metazoa; Arthropoda; Arachnida; Scorpiones; Bothriuridae
Description: partial 12S small subunit ribosomal RNA
Source: RNAcentral